GACGUAGGAUGCGAGCGUUGUCCGGAUUUAUUGGGCGUAAAGAGCGUGUAGGCGGCCAGGUAGGUCUGCUGUGAAAACUCGAGGCUCAACCUCGAGACGUCGGCGGAAACCAUCUGGCUAGAGUCCGGAAGAGGAGAGUGGAAUUCCUGGUGUAGCGGUGAAAUGCGCAGAUAUCAGGAAGAACACCCGUGGCGAAGGCGGCUCUCUGGGACGGUACUGACGCUGAGACGCGAAAGCGUGGGGAGCGAACAGG
This 253-nucleotide ribosomal RNA is filed under the name uncultured bacterium. RNAcentral's name for it is "partial 16S ribosomal RNA". It matches the Rfam family "Bacterial small subunit ribosomal RNA", at positions 524 to 776 of the family's 1533-position model. The record is from RNAcentral.